Molecule: long non-coding RNA, 1531 nt
Organism: Eriocheir sinensis (Chinese mitten crab)
Lineage: Eukaryota; Metazoa; Arthropoda; Malacostraca; Decapoda; Varunidae
Exons: 4
Source: RefSeq, a predicted model, not a curated record
GAGAGAGUUAUGCACCUAAAGACGGGGAGGAAGGGCGGAAACUAGGGCAUGGAAGGAGGUUUGGAGGGAAAAAUGAAGAGAGGUAAGAGGCACUUCAUGUAUUCUGGGAAGAGAGGGGAGGGAGGGAGAUACGAAGGGAAGGGAAGGGUGCACGCAGUACGUUGUGUGGCAGGAAAGUAGGUAACUAGGGAAAGAUGGAAAGGAGGAGAGGGAGAGAAGGACGAGAAGAGGAUAGCAGUCGGAUGGGUAUGUUGUUACGUAAGGGAGGAGUGGAGGAGAGCACGAGGGGAACGAAUGGGGUUUAAAAGGGUAAGAGGAAAGUAGGGCACGUGAGGAGAGGGAAAGGGAGACGGUGUUCUUAUUAUUACUAUUAUUAUUAGAGAUGAAAGAAAAGAAGAAAGGAAGAAAAAAAAAAAGAGAAGAAAGAGCAAGUGAAGAGAGGGAGUGGGAGGGAAGGGAGAAAUGGAAACAUGGAAAAUCAGGCAAUAGAGAGCUUGCUGGCUUUUAACGAGGCUGCCUGCUUUUGUGGUUUAAUCCGAUCAUUAGGCACUUCAGUGACGUUCAGAGCAGAUCAUAGCACUUGGUGUACGUGCGUGCGAGAAUGUUCACUCCUGUCGCCGUAAUAUAACGGUCAAUGUCAUUUUUAAGAACGGGUCCAGGAAAAUUGUCCCAGGGGCGAAAAAUACUGAGAGAAAAAAUAAUGCCUGGCUUGGAUCUGUAGACCGUUAUUUCUAGUUCCGGGUUAGUUAGGAGGAAAAAAUGCUUACGUUAUUGUACUUAUUGAGGUACUUGAAGACCUGUAUCAAAUCCUAAGUUAUUGUACUUAUUGAGGUGCUUGAAGACCUGUAUCAAAUCCUACGUUAUUGUACUUAUUGAGGUACUUGAAGACCUGUAUCAAAUCCUACGUUAUUGUACUUAUUGAGGUACUUGAAGACCUGUAUCAAAUUCUACUUUAUUGUACUUAUUGAGGUACUUGAAGACCUGUAUCAAAUUCUAAGUUAUUGUACUUAUUGAGGUACUUGAAGACCUGUAUCAAAUUCUACUUUAUUGUACUUAUUGAGGUACUUGAAGACCUGUAUCAAAUUCUACGUUAUUGUACUUAUUGAGGUACUUGAAGACCUGUAUCAAAUUCUACGUUAUUGUACUUAUUGAGGUACUUGAAGACCUGUAUCAAAUUCUACUUUAUUGUACUUAUUGAGGUACUUGAAGACCUGUAUCAAAUUCUACUUUAUUGUACUUAUUGAGGUACUUGAAGACCUGUAUCAAAUUCUACGUUAUUGUACUUAUUGAGGUACUUGAAGACCUGUAUCAAAUUCUACUUUAUUGUACUUAUUGAGGUACUUGAAGACCUGUAUCAAAUUCUAAGUUAUUGUACUUAUUGAGGUACUUGAAGACCUGUAUCAAAUUCUACGUUAUUGUACUUAUUGAGGUACUUGAAGACCUGUAUCAAAUUCUAAGUUAUUGUACUUAUUGAGGUACUUGAAGACCUGUAUCAAAUUCUACGUUAUUGUACUUAUUGAGGUACUUGAAG